GAUGAACGCUGGCGGCGUGCCUAAUACAUGCAAGUCGAGCGAACGGACGAGAAGCUUGCUUCUCUGAUGUUAGCGGCGGACGGGUGAGUAACACGUGGAUAACCUACCUAUAAGACUGGGAUAACUUCGGGAAACCGGAGCUAAUACCGGAUAAUAUUUUGAACCGCAUGGUUCAAAAGUGAAAGACGGUCUUGCUGUCACUUAUAGAUGGAUCCGCGCUGCAUUAGCUAGUUGGUAAGGUAACGGCUUACCAAGGCAACGAUGCAUAGCCGACCUGAGAGGGGGUAGGCGCACCGGGAAGGUGAGCGGCGGCCCAGGCCCUGAGGGAAGGCACAGAUAGGGAAUUUACCCAGAAGGGGGGAAGCUUGAAGGAUGGGCGCAGGGUGGAUGAAGAAACGCUGCGGGCGGGAAAACGGUUUUAUGGGGGAAAAAAGUUUGUGAAAGUAACGGAGCGUGAGUGAAGGGAACCGAUAAAGAAGCCCCGGCUAAAUACGGG
RNAcentral lists this ribosomal RNA (496 nucleotides) under uncultured bacterium. Its description in RNAcentral is "partial 16S ribosomal RNA". It matches the Rfam family "Bacterial small subunit ribosomal RNA", at positions 28 to 507 of the family's 1533-position model. The record is from RNAcentral.